UACGUAGGGGGCAAGCGUUGUCCGGAAUCAUUGGGCGUAAAGAGCGUGUAGGCGGCCCGGUAAGUCCGCUGUGAAAGUCCAGGGCUCAACCCUGGGAUGCCGGUGGAUACUGUCGGGCUCGAGUCCGGAAGAGGAGUGUGGAAUUCCGGGUGUAGCGGUGAAAUGCGUAGAUAUCCGGAGGAACACCGGUGGCGAAGGCGGCUUCCUGGACCGACACUGACGCUGAGGCGCGAAAGCUAGGGGAGCAAACGGG
This 253-nucleotide ribosomal RNA is filed under the name uncultured bacterium. RNAcentral's name for it is "partial 16S ribosomal RNA". It matches the Rfam family "Bacterial small subunit ribosomal RNA", at positions 524 to 776 of the family's 1533-position model. The record is from RNAcentral.